Small nuclear RNA from Pistacia vera, 103 nucleotides. The record is from RefSeq and is a predicted model, not a curated record. NCBI's taxonomy places the organism in Eukaryota, Viridiplantae, Streptophyta, Magnoliopsida, Sapindales, Anacardiaceae.
UCAAAAUAUAAGUUGGCUUUAUAAAAUUGAAACGAUAUUGAGAGGAUUAGCAUGGCCCUGUGCAAGGAUGACACGCACAAAAGGAGAAAUGGUCCAAAUUUUU